Molecule: ribosomal RNA, 497 nt
Filed under: uncultured bacterium
Lineage: Bacteria
Description: partial 16S ribosomal RNA
Rfam family: Bacterial small subunit ribosomal RNA
Source: RNAcentral
GACGAGCGCUGGCGGCGUGCCUAAUACAUGCAAGUUGAGCGCUGAAGGUUGGUCCUUGUACCAACUGGAUGAGCAGCGAACGGGUGAGUAACGCGUGGGGAAUCUGCCUUUGAGCGGGGGACCACAUUUGGAAACGAAUGCUAAUACCGCAUAAAAACUUUAAACACAAGUUUUAAGUUUGAAAGAUGCAAUUGCAUCACUCAAAGAUGAUCCCGCGUUGUAUUAGCUAGUUGGUGAGGUAAAGGCUCACCAAGGCGAUGAUACAUAGCCGACCUGAGAGGGUGAUCGGCCACGUUGGGACUGAGACACGGCCCAAACUCCUACGGGAGGCAGCAGUAGGGAAUCUUCGGCAAUAGACGAAAGUCUGACCGAGCAACGCCGCGUGAGUGAAGAAGGUUUUCGGAUCGUAAAACUCGGUUGGUAGAGAAGAACGUUGGUGAGAGUGGAAAGCUCAUCAAGUGACGGUAACUACCCAGAAAGGGACGGCUAACUACGUG